RNAcentral lists this ribosomal RNA (377 nucleotides) under uncultured bacterium. Its description in RNAcentral is "partial 16S ribosomal RNA". It matches the Rfam family "Bacterial small subunit ribosomal RNA", at positions 338 to 732 of the family's 1533-position model. The record is from RNAcentral.
CCUACGGGAGGCAGCAGUAGGGAAUAUUGCUCAAUGCGGGAAACACUGACGCAGCAACGCCGCGUGGAGGACGAAGGUCUUCGGAUUGUAAACUUCUUUUGUGAGAGAAGAAAAUGACGGUAUCUCACUGAUAAGCACCUGCUAACACCGUGCCAGCCGCCGCCGUAAUACGGCGGGUGCAAGCGUUACUCGGUAUGACUGGGCGUAAAGAGUGCGCAGGCGGUGUUGUAAGUCAGAUGUGAAAUACUGGAGCUUAACUACAGGACGGCAAUUGAAACUAUGAGUCUAGAGUGUGAGAGAGGAAUGUGGAAUUCUUGGUGUAGGGGUGAAAUGCGUAGAUAUCAAGAGGAAUACUGAUAGCGAAGGCGGCCAACUGG